UCUCUAUUUUGCAACUGCCGGUCGCCGGGCGGUUGCGCGAGCCGUUGUGGCGUGUUUGUCUAAUCGUGUGGUUUUGUGUUUGGUGUAACGAAAUGUGACUUAGUUCGCGAACACAGAAGUGCCAGAAGAUAGCUUGUGUCUCUCUGAAACUCGCCAUAUGCGUGGCGUGCCAGGCAAAUGGAGACCAACGAUUUUCAUGCCCUGGAGUGCGUUCUCUUUUGUGUCUGGUUGCGGGAAGUUCGCUGGACGUCGCAAAGAAAUAAUGUGUAUUAUUAGCGUGCCUCAGCUCGUCCACUACGUAACGGCGUGUAGACUGGGAGUCGACGCAGCACCGGCAACUUGGAGAGCGCUUUUCGACCGCGUCGUACCAUUCAAAAGUGGCGAGGCCGUAACCCACACCAGUGUCCACAUAAUGGAGGAGCCAGCAGAAAUGCAGGGAAACCUUGAAUGACUGCCAUAGCGCAGUGUGUAAUCUGAUUGCUUGGUUCAGGUACACCUAGCAAAUGUAUACAUUGACGAGGAGUGGCACCUGCUCUAGUGCCAUGGCUAGGACUCCCUGUUCUGCAAAGAACUGGCGAAACUGGUGUGCGGAGUUCUGGCACUCAGGAUAGGAGCAUCACAGGGGCUCUUUGGUGGUGCUUCCUGAACGACCGCAAUUUCAUUGAGAAGCCGGCAUUGAGCCUCCAUAAAUUGGAAGCUGUGGACAGUAUCAUCGACAUUGUUUCAAAUUUGUUUGUGUAAUGUUUGUAACAAUACAUGUAUUACAGCGAAAUGAUUAAUUUUCCAGAUGCACUUGAUGCAUAUCUUUCGAGAUGUGGUGCCCCUGAGGAGGAGAAAUCGCGGUGCUCAAAAUGGACCGUAGCCUAGCAGACAUGCUGAGAGAAAUUAAGUAAGCGUGUAAUUGCAAACAUGUGUACAUGCAGUAAACCUCAUUAAUUUGAACUCGUGGGGGCCAUGCGAAAUGUCAGGACUAAGCAAACGCAACCAAAAUGGUUUAAAAUAUAUAUUUAUGUUUCGGCUUCCCACGGGAGCCUUGUUCACAAUGAAACCAGCAGCAGAGUAGGUAACGUUCUUAUCUGCAGCUCAAAACAUGAUUAAGGUACUUGGCAUACAUGGACAUGGAUGAUUAGAGAUUCAAGAUAAAGACGCGUAAAAUGAUUUCAUUCCUUAACAAUCAAGCGAUAUUUUUCCUAGCUAAUUGUGACGUAGUUGCGAAGUGCUUGGCCAGGGCAUUCGAUGCAAAGUAUCGUUUCUGGACAUCAUUCCUGUGCUGUUUAAGUCUUUUUUUGGAGUUGCCGGUUUCUCCGAUGUAGACGUACCGACAGUUCGCACACCGAAGGACCUACACUACGCCUGGGAACUUGCCCUUUUCCGAACGGUCUUUCACAUGCAUGAGCUCGUGUUUACGUUUUGGAACGUGCACAGCCUGCACAUCAUAUGACCACAACGCAUGCAAGGGUCUCGCUUAUGCAGGGGACCUAUGGUAUUGAAGCCCAUUUUUCGGGGGGUCCAGGGAGGGUGGGUACUGCGCAAGCCAGCUGACACCCUACUGUGUCAAUGGAGUACUCAGGGUAUCCACAAGCCAUCAAUUCCCACUGCACAAGUGAAUUGUCUGCCAUGUGGUCUUCUACUGUUGUGCACACAUUUUUCACCCAACGAAGGAGAGAGCAGACAACAGACCUCUUUUGCGAAGCAGGGUGCACCAAUGUGUAGUUGAGGUAGCGCCCCGUGUGAGUUAGCUUCCUAAACACCUCGAAUAACAGGUUUGGCCCUUUAUGCUGCACGAGGCUGUCCAAAAAUGACAGUUGGCCUUCAGAUUCCACUUCUAUGGUGAACUUAAUUGCUGCUUGCAUUACUGUUUAAGUGAGCCGUGAGGAGGUGAAUAUUCUGUUGUUGCAAAACUCUGAAACAGUCGACAUAUCUGAAAAAGACCUUAGGUGUCGAUGUAAACGAGCUAACCUUGAGUUAAACCUCGACCUCUUCACGGCUCACUUAAACAAUUGCAAGCAAAAUUAGGUUCACCAUAGAAGUGGAAUGUGAAGGUCAACUGUCAUUCUUGGACUCCCUUGUGCCAUGCGAAGGGCCAAACCUGUUAUUUGAGGUGUUUAGGAAGCUAACUGACACGGGGCGCUACCUCAACUACACAUUGGUGCACCCUGCUUCGCAGAAGAGGUCUGUUGUCUGCUCUCUCCUUCGUUGGGUGAAAAAUGUGUGCACAACAGCAGAAGACCACAUGGCAGACAAUUCACUUGUGUGGUGGGAAUUGAUGGCUUGGGGAUACCCUGAGUACUUCAUUGACUCAGUAGGGUGCCAGCUGGCUCACGCAGUACCCACCCACCCUGGACCCCCCCAAAAAACGGGCUUCAAUACCGUACAUCCGUGGCAUAAGCGAGACCCUUGCUCAUGUGAAAGAGCACGGCAGGAAGAACAAAUCCUGACAGGCUUGCCAACUGUCACGAAUUUCAGCGCUUCAGGAAUGGACAGAGACGCAAUGCAAAUAUGUUAAAUAUUUUUCCCAAGACACAAUGUAACCCAAAACAAAUGACCAGCAAAGUAAGUGUGCACAAAAUAUACCCUGUACACAAAAGAGAUUAACAAAACUAGGUAUAUACAUAAUCAAAACAAAUGAGAAAUUAGCUGUAUAAUGUUUAUAGUCUGACUGGCCAAGUGACAGUCCCCAAGAAUUGAAUGUUCUGACUGUCAGAGUAGCAGUGAACGUCGGCAAGGCGUGGUGCAAGAUGUCAGCCUGCGUAGUUGCAACAUGACGUAGACAUAGACCUUCGUUGUGAGUGACGAGGUUGUCGCCCCCUUACGAGACUUGCAUUGCACAGGACGCAGUCUGGACUAGUCAGGCAUUGUGUGGCCGACGUGGUCAGGUGAUUGUGGCACUGGACAAGGCCGGUUAUGGCAGUGUGGCGUUGGGUUGGGGUUGCAGAGCAUAGUCAUGGCGAUGUAGUCAGGUCUUGGAAGCUGUUGUUGGCCAACUCUUGGAUGUCCUCUCGUCUGUCCGUGGUCCCAAGCUACUACUUCCCAUCUCCAAACACAGCUAGAGAUGCAACUGCCUUGCUUCUCAUCCAUGUCAGCAAUGCGCGCUCCUUGGUUUUCCUCCCCUUUUCCUUCAAUUUUUCUCUGACACUUCACAUGCUUCCUCACCUCACGUAUCCAUUCUCCAUUUCACUGACCAAUGUCGUCUGCUCCACAUUAUCGCACAUGCUCUGCCGGUGACUCGUGACAGUGUGAAAAGGGAAAGCAUGGCAGCAAACGUAUCCACUUGUCAGUCAGCACUGUGUUUGUCUUUUGUUUUAUCUCAUCUGUUGGUACUGUUCCUUGCCAAGGUGGCCAAGGUAUGUAUUCAACAUAUGAAAAGAGUGCAGUGCAAACCGGAAAAGAGAUGGUACCCUAGCUUGAAUGGAAGCAUACUUCGUUGACUUCAGUUGCACAAAUGGCCAGGAGUGUACACCUUGAGACACUAGUUUAUGGCAUUGUAGGUCUUGAAGGCCGUGGAAUUGGCUAACAUGGCUAACACUUUUCUGCAUGCUUCACUUGAUGAUUAUCGUAAACCACAAGUGUUCUCAGCAUUAUGUUCAAAUGCCUUAUGCCAUUUUAAUGUGAUGUUUAACAUGCCUCCCUUCUCUGCUACUAGUGCACUUUUUAUUUCGUUGCUUAUAUGUACCUUUUAUUUACUUAUUAGUUAUGUGUAAUAUCUGCAGUGUCAUUGUCUUACAGCGACACUGUUACGAGGUGUUUCACAAUGGUUACAGUCUAUAUUCUUUUUUUAAUUAUGUGCAAUAUAUGCAGUGCCAUUGAGGCAUCCAACAUCUUAAGCGAUGCUGUUAAGAAAAGUUACAAUGUGGAUGCAGCCACAUUAAAUGUAAAUGCAACGCUGGUUCGGAGCCUUGAACUUGUUUUGAGACAUAAUUAUCAACAAUUAUAAAAUAAAAGUUGCGUGCAUAUACCUUGUUUGAAUACAUAGCUUAUUUUCACGGUUUCUGAAUAAGUAAUUCAUAAUUUUUGUUUCUCGCAUUUUAUUAUACUGGCUUUGUGUUAAAAGUCGGCAAGGACCUUGUACGGCUGCUGCCAUAAAAGCAGAUGCCAAGCUGCUGCUAGCCUGCAUGCAGGCUAUCACUAAUACAACCAGCCUUGACCAUGCUCGAGCGCAGCAGCACUUGCUGUGUGCAAGCAAGGCUGUGAGCCAGCAAUCAGAUCCCUUAUUCCUCUGAAGGGUGUGAGAAAUCUCUUAUAACAGUGUUGUCAGAUUGGCACAGUAAAACUUCAUUUGGGCCUAGUUGGUACAUAAUUCUGAACUUAACGUUACAGCGCAGACACCUAAGACGAACCACAAAAAGCGCCAGUGUGUGUCGUGUCUUUUUGUGGUUCGUCUUAGGUGUUUGCGCUGUAAUGUUAAGUUCAGAUUGGCACACUUCUCUAAAAGAUUUUUUUUUUUACUUUUUAUCCUUCCCAAGAUAUUACGGAAUGAAGCUUCCAAAAGUUGUCAUCUCAACUAGGCCACAUGUUCUUUUAUGAUGCGGUCUUCAGCACUGCCUGUUUUUUGCCUUUAAUCGUCAGAAGUGAGCCCAUGGUGGUUCUAAGGCUCUGUAAGCCUUCUUGCACCAGCAGCAUUGUCCAGGUGGAAUAUCAGUAAGGAAGUUUGGAUGAUGGCCAUCAGAAGCCCACUUGUCAUUAUUCUGCCACUUUUGUUGCUUUUCUUGAGACUGUUUUUUCUUUCAAUGUUAUUGUUAAGAAAUUUAAGCAUGACGUAUGUUUGGAGCUAAGGGCAUGAUCCACCGGCUUCAAAGUUCCUAGAGUCAGUCUGCGCAAGGAAUUGUGAGGCGGUGCUGCUAUUAAAAGCAUGCACUUUCACCCGCUCUUAAAAUCGGGGUACAAUACAAUGAACAUUUUACCAUCCCUUACGACUCUCUCUUAGCCACUAUGUUUGCCUUUCGGUAAUAUGGGGGAAAAAAGCAAAGCUGAACUCUGCUUUAUUUAGUCCACUCUGCCAGCUUGUCACAGUAAAAAUGGCUCUGUUAGUGCCUACCAGAACUUUCAUUUUCCUAAUCAUUUAAUUUUGAAGUGCAAUAAGUGUUUUGGCGUCUUCUCAACUUUUUGCUGCUUUAACUCUUGCACAUGUCAAUAUUAAUGAGAAAUGAUGUCCUCUUUACCUUUUGUAGUACCACAGUCUAGAUUUGUCAGAGAAUGCACUGUUAUAGCUACGUUAUUUCUACAAUUACUGUAUUGCACCUUGUUCAGGCACUUGUGGCUGAUUUCCAUGUAUUCUUUAUGUACUUCAUAAGGUCUGUGCUUAAACCUGCAGCUGGAUGAGUUGCUUUCUAUUCUUACUGUUUGGUUUGUGCAGAUAACACAUGGGCAAGAAAGAAUCAAAAACCAGUUAAGAGAUUGUGCUUGCGUCGUCCAUUUCUUCCUUGCCUCUGCUUAUGCAAUAAAUUUAUUUUCUACAAAGCA
Long non-coding RNA from Dermacentor andersoni, 5460 nucleotides. RefSeq lists it as uncharacterized. The record is from RefSeq and is a predicted model, not a curated record. NCBI's taxonomy places the organism in Eukaryota, Metazoa, Arthropoda, Arachnida, Ixodida, Ixodidae.